AUUUAGUUUUUUUUAUUUUUUUAUUUUAAUCCUUUUUAAUUUAUUUUAGUUUAUAUAUUUAAAUUAGUAUUGAAAUAACAAUUAGUUAGUAAGUGAUCUGGUGGAGAGGAGUGUUUUCUAUGUCUUUAGUGUAGUGGGUUCAAUACCCCUAUGUGUAGUUUUUUCUUUUAACAUUUUCUUUAUGUUUAUGCUUUAUUACUCAUAGUUU
Molecule: long non-coding RNA, 208 nt
Filed under: Lathyrus oleraceus (garden pea)
Lineage: Eukaryota; Viridiplantae; Streptophyta; Magnoliopsida; Fabales; Fabaceae
Description: Pisum sativum (pea) long non-coding RNA (PSAT_LNC041267)
Source: RNAcentral